CGUGUAGGCGGGUCUCUAAGUCAGGGGUGAAAUGCCAAGGCUCAACCUUGGAACUGCCUUUGAUACUGGAGACCUUGAGUCCGGAAGAGGUGAGUGGAAUUGCGAGUGUAGAGGUGAAAUUCGUAGAUAUUCGCAAGAACACCAGUGGCGAAGGCGGCUCACUGGCCCGGAACUGACGCUGAGACGCGAAAGCGUGGGGAGCAAACAGGAUUAGAUACCCUGGUAGUCCACGCUGUAAACGAUGGAUGCUAGCCGUUGGGGAGCUUGCUCUUCAGUGGCGCAGCCAACGCUUUAAGCAUCCCGCCUGGGGAGUACGGUCGCAAGAUUAAA
RNAcentral lists this ribosomal RNA (330 nucleotides) under uncultured bacterium. RNAcentral's name for it is "bacterial SSU rRNA". It matches the Rfam family "Bacterial small subunit ribosomal RNA", at positions 568 to 898 of the family's 1533-position model. The record is from RNAcentral.